CCUACGGGAGGCUGCAGUGGGGAAUAUUGGACAAUGGGGGGAACCCUGAUCCAGCCAUGCCGCGUGUGUGAAGAAGGCCCUCGGGUUGUAAAGCACUUUCAGUGAGGAAGAACGCCUGGUGGUUAAUACCCAUCAGGAAAGACAUCACUCACAGAAGAAGCACCGGCUAACCCCGUGCCAGCAGCCGCGGUAAUACGGAGGGUGCGAGCGUUAAUCGGAAUUACUGGGCGUAAAGCGCGCGUAGGUGGCUUGAUAAGCCGGUUGUGAAAGCCCCGGGCUCAACCUGGGAACGGCAUCCGGAACUGUCAAGCUAGAGUGCAGGAGAGGAAGGUAGAAUUCCCGGUGUAGCGGUGAAAUGCGUAGAGAUCGGGAGGAAUACCAGUGGCGAAGGCGGCCUUCUGGACUGACACUGACACUGAGGUGCGAAAGCGUGGGUAGCAAACAGGAUUAGAUACCCCUGUAGUC
This 465-nucleotide ribosomal RNA is filed under the name Vreelandella stevensii. RNAcentral describes it as "partial 16S ribosomal RNA". It matches the Rfam family "Bacterial small subunit ribosomal RNA", at positions 338 to 795 of the family's 1533-position model. The record is from RNAcentral. Lineage: Bacteria; Pseudomonadati; Pseudomonadota; Gammaproteobacteria; Oceanospirillales; Halomonadaceae.